This 491-nucleotide ribosomal RNA is filed under the name uncultured bacterium. RNAcentral describes it as "partial 16S ribosomal RNA". It matches the Rfam family "Bacterial small subunit ribosomal RNA", at positions 29 to 507 of the family's 1533-position model. The record is from RNAcentral.
GUGAACGCUGGCGGUAGGCCUAACACAUGCAAGUCGAACGGCAGCACAGUAAGAGCUUGCUCUUCCGGGUGGCGAGUGGCGGACGGGUGAGGAAUACAUCGGAAUCUACUUUUUCGUGGGGGAUAACGUAGGGAAACUUACGCUAAUACCGCAUACGACCUACGGGUGAAAGCAGGGGAUCUUCGGACCUUGCGCGAUUGAAUGAGCCGAUGUCGGAUUAGCUAGUUGGCGGGGUAAAGGCCCACCAAGGCGACGAUCCGUAGCUGGUCUGAGAGGAUGAUCAGCCACACUGGAACUGAGACACGGUCCAGACUCCUACGGGAGGCAGCAGUGGGGAAUAUUGGACAAUGGGCGCAAGCCUGAUCCAGCCAUACCGCGUGGGUGAAGAAGGCCUUCGGGUUGUAAAGCCCUUUUGUUGGGAAAGAAAAGCGGCAGGUUAAUACCCCGCUGUUCUGACGGUACCCAAAGAAUAAGCACCGGCUAACUUCGUG